RNAcentral lists this transfer RNA (73 nucleotides) under Stegodyphus mimosarum. It matches the Rfam family "tRNA". From Rfam's summary of the family: Transfer RNA (tRNA) molecules are approximately 80 nucleotides in length. Lineage: Eukaryota; Metazoa; Arthropoda; Arachnida; Araneae; Eresidae. The record is from Rfam by way of RNAcentral.
GCCUUGAUGGUGUAGUUGUCAGCAUGCUGGAUGCAUAUCCAAGAGGUCUGUGGUUCAAAUCCCGGUGAGGGCA